AGACUUCUCUAUGUCCUGGAAAAUUGGGAUUAGAUCAGUCGCUGAGGGUAAAUUCUAGAUUUGCGUAUUUGGAUGGUUGAUGCCUUUCAUGUUUCUUAUCAAGUUCUUGAUGGAGUAGAGAUGAGCUAAGGAUUUGCACAACCUUUUCCAUGCAAACAAGUUCAUGAGCGAGCUUAGAUUCGAUUGCUUGCUUAGAGCAUUUUCUUUUUUGUAGCUUAAAAUGCGAUAGUGCAAAUUUGAAA
RNAcentral lists this unclassified non-coding RNA (242 nucleotides) under Hevea brasiliensis (rubber tree). Lineage: Eukaryota; Viridiplantae; Streptophyta; Magnoliopsida; Malpighiales; Euphorbiaceae. The record is from RNAcentral.